UACGUAGGGUGCAAGCGUUGUCCGGAAUUAUUGGGCGUAAAGAGCUCGUAGGCGGUCUGUCGCGUCGGCUGUGAAAUCCCGGAGCUCAACUCCGGGUCUGCAGUCGAUACGGGCAAACUGGAGUACUGCAGGGGAGACUGGAAUUCCUGGUGUAGCGGUGAAAUGCGCCAGAUAUCAGGAGGAACACCGGUGGCGAAGGCGGGUCUCUGGGCAGUAACUGACGCUGAGGAGCGAAAGCGUGGGGAGCGAACAGG
Molecule: ribosomal RNA, 254 nt
Filed under: uncultured bacterium
Lineage: Bacteria
Description: partial 16S ribosomal RNA
Rfam family: Bacterial small subunit ribosomal RNA
Source: RNAcentral